Molecule: ribosomal RNA, 253 nt
Filed under: uncultured bacterium
Lineage: Bacteria
Description: partial 16S ribosomal RNA
Rfam family: Bacterial small subunit ribosomal RNA
Source: RNAcentral
UACGAGGGGUGCAAGCGUUGCUCGGAAUUAUUGGGCGUAAAGGGUAUGUAGGUGGUCUUAUUUGUCUGGGGUGAAAUCCUUGAGCUUAACUCAAGAAGUGCCCCAGAAACGGUGAGACUCGAGUUCUGGAGAGGGUCGUGGAAUUCCCGGUGUAGCGGUGAAAUGCGUAGAGAUGUGGAGGAAUACCGAUGGCGAAGGCAGCCUCCUGGGCCAACACUGACGCUCAUGCACGAAAGCGUGGGGAGCAAACAGG